UAGGGAAUCUUCCACAAUGGGCGAAAGCCUGAUGGAGCAACGCCGCGUGUGUGAUGAAGGGUUUCGGCUCGUAAAACACUGUUGUAAGAGAAGAAUGAUAUUGAGAGUAACUGUUCAAUGUGUGACGGUAUCUUACCAGAAAGGAACGGCUAAAUACGUGCCGG
Molecule: ribosomal RNA, 164 nt
Filed under: uncultured bacterium
Lineage: Bacteria
Description: partial 16S rRNA
Rfam family: Bacterial small subunit ribosomal RNA
Source: RNAcentral